GUAGGUGAACCUGCGGAAGGAUCAUUAAUAUAGAAAUAGAGUCUGAGGGGUGUAUACCGCAAAGCUCUAAUUUUUCCGAAUAACAUGGACUGAGGGAUUACGGACCUGAAAUGAAGUGUCGGAAACUGAAAAGUGGCGCAAGAUUGGGAACGUAUGAACUUGGAAAGUGUUUGCACCGACUGUGUCUUAUGGGCACAGACAGUGUGAAAUUACUUGUUGAAACACUUUGAUUAUGCUUCGGCUGCACCUUCGGCCUUAAAACAGCGGAGGGAUAAGUCGGCCAGAGGCACUUCUUAAUAAAAUUAGUUGAUGAAAUGUCAUGCUGUCUGAUACUGUUUAGUAUUUGAGAAAUCGAAUAUAUAUUAAAACUUUCAGCAACGGAUCUCUUGGUUCUC
This 395-nucleotide unclassified non-coding RNA is filed under the name rhizosphere metagenome. Its description in RNAcentral is "partial ribosomal RNA internal transcribed spacer region". The record is from RNAcentral.